AAUAUUUCCGAGAUGUUAAUGAACAAGACGUACUUCUAUUUAUCGACAAUAUUUUCCGUUUCGUCCAAGCAGGAUCCGAAGUCUCGGCCUUAUUGGGUAGAAUGCCUUCCGCUGUGGGCUACCAACCCACCUGAGUACCGAAAUGGGUUCUUUACAAGAAAGAAUUACGUCUACCAAAGAGGGAUCUAUAACUUCUAUUCAAGCAGUUUAUGUACCUGCAGACGAUUUAACCGACCCGCCCCUGCUACGACAUUUGCACAUUUAGAUGCUACUACCGUACUAUCAAGAGGAUUAGCUGCCAAAGGUAUCUAUCCCGCAGUAGAUCCUUUAGAUUCAACAUCAACCAUGCUUCAACCUCGGAUUGUUGGUGAGGAACAUUAUGAAACUGCGCAAAGGGUUAAGCAAACUUUACAACGUUAUAAAGAACUCCAGGAUAUUAUAGCUAUCCUCGAGUUAGAUGAAUUAUCCAAAGAGGAUCGUUAACCGUAGCACGAGCACGAAAAAUUGAGUGUUUCUUAUCACAACCCUUUUCGUAGCAGAAGUAUUUACCGGUUCUCCAGGAAAAUAUGUUGGUCUAGCAGAAACAAUUAGAGGAUUUCAAUUGAUCCUUUCCGGAGAAUUAGAUAGUCUUCCUGAACAGGCUUUUUAUUUGGUAGGCAAUAUCGAUGAAGCUACCGCGAAGGCUAUGAACUUAGAAAUGGAGAACAAUUUGAAGAAAUGACCUUAAAUCUUUGUGUACUAACGCCUAAUCGAAUUGUUUGGGAUUCAGAAGUAAAAGAAAUAAUUUUACCUACUAAUAGUGGUCAAAUUGGCGUAUUACCCAACCAUGCCCCUAUUGCCACAGCUGUAGAUAUAGGUAUUUUGAGAAUACGCCUUAAUGGCCAAUGGUUAACGAUGGCUCUUAUGGGUGGUUUUGUUAAA
RNAcentral lists this long non-coding RNA (921 nucleotides) under Coffea arabica (coffee). RNAcentral describes it as "long non-coding RNA (CARA_LNC003399)". Lineage: Eukaryota; Viridiplantae; Streptophyta; Magnoliopsida; Gentianales; Rubiaceae. The record is from RNAcentral.